This 385-nucleotide ribosomal RNA is filed under the name uncultured euryarchaeote. RNAcentral describes it as "bacterial SSU rRNA". It matches the Rfam family "Archaeal small subunit ribosomal RNA", at positions 339 to 727 of the family's 1478-position model. The record is from RNAcentral. Lineage: Archaea; Methanobacteriati; Methanobacteriota.
GCGCGAAACCUUUACAAUGCACGAAAGUGUGAUAGGGGAACUCAGCGUGCUUAUGUUUAACAUAGGCUUUUCUUUAGGGUAAAUACCUAAGGGAAUAAGGGAUGGGCAAGACCGGUGCCAGCAGCCGCGGUAACACCGGCGUCCCGAGUGGGAAUCGCAUAUUAGGCCUAAAGCGUUCGUAGUUGGCUUUCUAAAUUUCUCGUGAAAUCGUUGCGCUUAACGUAACGUCGUGCGGGAAACACUGGAUAGCUAGGGACCGGGAGGAGUGAGGAGUAUUCUGGAGGGAGCGGUAAAAUGUGAUAAUCUUCAGAGGACUACCUGUGGCGAAGGCGCCUCACUAGAACGGGUUCGACAAUCAGGAACGAAGGCUAGGGGAGCAAACCGG